Molecule: long non-coding RNA, 1449 nt
Organism: Triticum aestivum (bread wheat)
Lineage: Eukaryota; Viridiplantae; Streptophyta; Magnoliopsida; Poales; Poaceae
Exons: 4
Source: RefSeq, a predicted model, not a curated record
UCCGUGUACCCAUCGCGCUCCCGCACGAGACGGACUGACGGAGACGGACACGGACCGGGUAACGCUCCCAGAUCGCCGCCGCCUAGCCCUAAAAAAAAAAGGACCGCCGCCGCGUAGCCUUUCGCCGCCGGGUUCGACGAGGGAGCCGGGGCACGCAAGCCGGCCUAUACCCUAUAGAGAGACUGGUCCGGGGAUGUUCGGGGAUGCGGGCCAGCAGCGCGGCAACGUCGUGGGUGGUGGGGCGGACGCGCAUCUCCUCUACGACGACCCGCUGUCAUCCCGGCGCUCCUCGGCUCCCGCUUCGACGGCGAUUAGGUCGACGCUCAAGCGCCUCCUCGCCCUCAUCACGCAGGGCUUCUACGUCGCCCACCUCUCCCGGCAGGCGGUCAAGAACGUGCCGGCAUAGUCGCUCGAGGUGAAGAAGCACGUUUACCUCUACCUGCUCCGUUACGCCGCGAAUGUCUUGGGCUCUUCACAGGAUGAACCAUACGCAAGAAGACCUCUGGUUGGUCAACCAGCAUGAUAUCACUAACAAUAUUCCUUCCAUAAGAAGGAUGGAUGUUUUGCCAGUCGAUUACAUCUUCAAUUUGAGAAAGAGUGCACGGCGCUGCAAGCGGGCGACACGACCAAAGACACGUGCACACCCGAGACAGACACAAGCUCUCUCAUUGGACAAGGGCCCGCCCAGUGAGUCGAGCAACCUGGUCAAAAUCGGUCACCAAAUCGAAAUUAGUGACCUCAAUCGAUUGUGAGCCUUUCCACCUCUAGGGAGCUUAGUGAUUUAAAGGAUAAUCUUCUGAUGUCGUGGACACUUGCGUUUGACACUUGUGCACAAUCUUGAUUCUAGAUGUGAAUAAUCCUAUUGAACAGACAUGAUGCAUUUUUAUUCAGGCAAGCUAUUUUGUUUGGGGAAGUCUGAAAUCUGUAUAAUGCUUCUCUAGAAAAACUCCCGUCUGCGUUCAUCUUAAGCUUGAUCAUCUUCUGAUUCCGAAGAUGAAGAAGAACAUAGCAUAGGAUCUUCUUCAAUGCUGUUAAGAAGAGAGUGGAUGCUCUUCUUCCUCUUCUUCUUGGCUACUGCAGAUCUCUUUCUUUUUCUUCCUUGUGUUUGUGAUGUUGAAGUCUCCUGUUGAGCUUGGGCUUCAUUACCUAAAUGUUCACCGACAUUGUCAUCAGGAGUGAUCUCAGUAAUGAACUCAUUGUCUUCAUCCUCCAGAACAUCACUGAUGACCUUCUCUAUGGGGUCUCUGUUCUUAUUUUCUCUCUUAUGCUGCAGCCUUGCGUUGAAUUUGACGAAGACAAGAUCCCUCAACCUAUCACUGAGUAGUCUGUUACAUUGUUUUGCAUGAACCUACAUAGUGAAGGAAAAUUGAGUGUAGGUGAAAAUAAAUCAAGGAACACAUGGUCACAUGUGAGAACAGAAAUCAACUAUUUUGUAGACUUUUAGAGUUA